This 484-nucleotide long non-coding RNA is filed under the name Homo sapiens (human). Its description in RNAcentral is "non-protein coding lnc-PNMA2-4:1". Lineage: Eukaryota; Metazoa; Chordata; Mammalia; Primates; Hominidae. The record is from RNAcentral.
UGAUGUCUUUGCUGAGGGUCACACUGAGCUACCAGCUGCAUCAUGAGCAUCUUUAGAAGUCAGCACCUUGGCAAAAGACAUGAAGACCAAAAUCAAGAACUACAAGACUGCCCCUUUUGACAGACGCUUCCCCAACCAGACUAGGAACUGCUGGCAGAACUUCCUGGACUUCCACCUCUGUGAGAAGGCAACAACCGCUGAAGGGUGUGAUGUCUCUAUGUGUGAAUGAUACCAGUGUGUGUACAAGUUCUUCUGCCCUGCUCCUGGGUUUCAGUCUAGGAUGACAGCUGGGCUAAAGGCACAUUUCCUGGAAAGAUCUGAACUGGCUGCAUCUUACCCCUCCUAUGUCCUUCAUCCUUCUCCCAGGCAAAGGGAAACCUGGGUACAUGGUGAUCCUCACCCUGGGGCCCUGAAUCAUGACUUAACUAUGAAUAAAAAUGCUUUGGAAAAGCAGGGGGAAAGAAGUGGAAAUAACAAAAAAUAA